CUAUGAGACUGUGCUUCUAGCCAAUACCUAAACAGAAAGUAAAAAGUUUCUCUGUUACCAAAGUUUGAGAACUGUUUCUUCAACUUCAUUGUUUAGAAGUCAUCACCAAUUCCUCAGUGAGGAGUGGCUAGAGACUAGUCUCUUUUAUUACCAGUUUUAUACAAUGUGGCUUUCCUCAUAGAAUGUGGAUUCUAUCUAGUUCUGUGAGCCUCUCUGGUUUUGUGAUUAAAGAACACAUCUGGGUAUUCUCAUGUGUAGGUACUUAGACAAAUGGGUCAUACCAGAUUUUAUGAGUCAAGAUUCUGAUGUUUCUCCAAGGGAAAAAACAGGUUAACUGACAACACGGCAGCAAAGAAGCGAGAGAGUAUGAGAGAAUGUCAGCAACAGAGACAAAGCUGGCAGGAUGGAGGUCAGACUCUUCUGUAACCUCAACAUGGAAAUGACACCCCAUCAUCUGCACUCUAUUAUUUUUGUUAGAAGCGAGUCACCAGGUCCCGUUUAUACUCAUGGGAAGGGGAUUACUCAAGGGUGUGGGUGGCAGGAGGUGGGGAUCCCUGGGAACCCUAUCAGAAGCUGCCUACCAUGUCUAUAUAAAGUAAUAUUUGAGAUCCAAGUGCUGAUCCAGUACAGAAAAACUCUCCAACCAUUUUUGCCACCUAUAACUUUGCAGUUAGGAACGUCCACAGGAAUAUUAGAACUGUUUCCCUUUGAUAGAAGGCCAUAUGUCAGUGGAGGUGUUUUUGGCGCUUACUAAUGCACUCAGUAACUUGAUUUGAAAAGAGAACUGUGCAAUACUGUAUAAUUUCAAACACUUUCCUAGCAAAAAUAUAUUACCUUUAAUUAGGCUGAUUUAAAGCUGUUAAGAUUCUUGUCAGAAAUAAUUUUUAAGUGGAUGUGUCAAGAUGAAAACAGCAGUUGUCAAGUGAAGAAAGCGGUAAUUUGUGUGUGUGCUGUCUGGCUUAUGAGAAAUUGGGUCUUUAAAUACCAACCAAGCAUUCCUGCUAACAAUUUCUUUUAUAGAAGCCAUUCUGGCAGUUUGGGAUUCAAAAUGUUGGAAUGCUAUUGUUUGUGGUAAAUAUUUGUCCUAUGACUAGGGAAUUAAAUUUAGUUCCUACCCUGUAAUAUAGACAAAAGCAUCUCUAAGAAGAGAAAGCAUUUAAGCAAUUAAAUUCACCAAGUGGUCAAACACAUAGCAUGAGCAAAGCAUUCUGGGUGAUUACAGAGUGGAAUAAUAAUAACAAUAAUGAAGACCACUCUUAGAUGAAAGCAAAUCAGGUGACUUUAAGCACUCGAAAAAGCUUGAAUUCUACUUGCAGUCUUUUUAGGCUACUAAUUUCUUUAGCAAGCUUUUGUUAUUGGGCAGUGAAAAGGAGGGCUUUUGCUUGACCUCUAUGGUAGGGUUUCUUAGUAGUGGCACUGUUGACAUUUUGGGUCACGUAAUUCUUUGUUGUGGGGGGGCUGUCCUAUGCACUGUAAGAUGUUUAGCAGCAUUCCUGGCUUCCCAGGAUGCCAAUAGCUUUGCUCCUCUCAUCCCAGUUGUGACGUUGAAAUAUGUGUGCAGACGUUGCCGGAUGUACCUGGAGGUAGAGAGAGGGGGGGAAAAAAUCACCACACUAUGGCAAUUACCACAGCUUUUGAAUCAGGGAAUUCUAAAUUAACACGAGGUAACAUUAUCUUACUUUUAUCCAUUGCAUUUAUAAAUAUUUUGUCUUUUCUCUUGGUCCUCAAAAGCAAAAUUCCAUAUGCUAUAUAAAAGAUAAUUCAUUCUCCUAGUCAUUGAGCCAGUGAACAUUCACUGAGUGCUUACUGCAUGCAAUCAACUUUCCCCAGGCAUUGCAAAGAAUACAGAAAAAAGUAGGUUUUUGUCCUCAAGAAGCUUGAGAUCUCGGAGGAGGUAGAGAAGGGAUUUAGGUCGUGUAUAUACAUGACUAUCAAGCAAGUAGGAAGAACUAAAUUCAAAUAAAGAAAGAGGUAAAAUUUAUUGAGAGGAACUUUUACUUUUCCCUUGCAGACCAGCGGUGAUUUAGAAGUUUAUCCCUGAGCUGGGAUUCUGGAAUCAGAGUUUAAUAGAGCAAGGUUAACCUAAGUUUUGGGGUAUGAGAGUAGAUUUGGAAUUGGAGCUAGACCUCUGGAACAAAACAUCAAAUCAAUGGGGGUAGGCAGAGAGAUAGAAACCCAGUCUGAAGCCAAAGGUUCUCAACCAGAAAUGGCAAGAUGGAGGGUGCAUGUUCAAGAGGACCAAAAAGCGGGGGAGCCUGGAAAAGGUUGCUGAAACACUGACAAACAGCCCCUGGUCCAUUUUGUAGGAAACUGCUAAUGAGCUCAGGUGCAAUCACAGCUGUAGGAGCACUAAACUGAUUUAAUGGGUGGGAGGCCUUCCAGUGGGACCAGAAUUAUUCUUCUCUUACCCAUGGUGCCCAGGAACUCAGCAGUGGUGUAUGGAAAGCAAUUCCAAGCCAUACACAGGCAAUGGAAGAUGAGAUAUCAGAGGGUCCUGCUUCCAAGUACCUCCCACUGGCCAGCCCUGUGCCCAACAUCUCCACCAUUAGGGCUUUGUCAUUUGGGUGAGUCUUCUGAAAAAGCAAACAUUCUCCCCAAAAUGGUGUUAUUAUCCAUGAACUCGUGGUGUUAUAAUUUUCGAAGUAUAUUCCAAAGACUCUUAAUAGGUAUUACCUUGAAGAGUUUAAUCAACCAAUUAGUUUCUGAAGUGCCUGGUAAAAGAAAUUAAACACAUUUUUUUACUGCAGAAUUUAUAAGAACCUUUAAGAUACAUCAUCAAUCUCAAAUGGAGGGUUAUACUGUGAAACACUUCCAAAAUUUAUUUGAAUACAAAGCCAUUUUAUCGUGUAACAUCUCAUGAGAACAUGGUGUAUGCUACAUGCUUUGUGUAACCCUGCGUGGUUGUGAAAUGAGUGGCUGUUGCCAACUGUCUGGACUUUAAGUGAAUGGGGUAUAGCAGGAAAAAUAUAUCAACAUGUGCAUAUUCACAGACCUCUCCCUCCACACCUGCUAAAGGAAAACUUGACUUUGCCAGUUUGGUUCCACCGCAUUUCUUGCCCCACCAAAUAGAGUUCUGUCUUGAUCACCAGUUUCAUGGUCUUUAUUAUACAUCACUGUAAAUGGUGAAGUCUGGAGAUGCUGGCUAAUUACUCUAAAGAGCAGAUGAUAGGAGAAAAAUAACGGAAAUAUUAAGGGGGGAAUGAAAAGUAGGGCAGGUUUGGAGAGCAGUCGUUGGUGGAGUAGGGCAGGUAACUGACUCUGAGAGCUGCCUUUGUGCAUCUUGGAGUCUGAGAAAGAGCGAAUGCCUGGUAAGAGAAUAUUUUUCUGGACGUGAGAAGAGUAAUUCUUAAGUUGACGUUUUUCCUUAUCAAACUGUAGUAAACAUUUAAAUUGCUUUUUAUUUACUUUUGGUUGCUAGGAUGAAUUUAUUUAAAUAUGAAAAUGAGCUGAAAUGGGGUGUUAAGGUGGGAUCCAAAAGGUCUGUCUUUAUAAAGGCAGUUACAGGGAAUAUUUAACGAGAAGCAGAGAUCCUGGGUUAAGGUGAAAGAGAGUCGGAGUAUGUGAGUAUCCUGGAAAUAAAGGCUUACUGGGAUGAUCUAGUGAAUGUUAUUUUUGCCUUCCCAUUCGCCUUCUCAGAACAACAAUCUCCUUCUUGUAGGAAUUGCUCCUCUCCUGCUCCAUGCGGUUCUGGGGAGCUGCCAAUCACAGGACAUAGCCCUGUGGCCACAGGAAUGGGCACACAUUCCAGUAGGCCUGGUCAAUCAUAGUUGCCCAUUUCCAUGGCUUCAAAGAUGGGCACAUGACCCAGUUCAGGCCAGUCAGACUCCUUCCCUGAAAUUUUAUAUAACAAAAUGAUGGAAUAGAGAGGCUCUGGUGUGACUAAGCAGGGAUGAUGCUAGCCUGUCAUCUGGAUUCACGCUUCUUUUAUCAUUCCAUCCCUCAACCUGGCCACUAGGAAGAAGCCAAUCUGUAGAAAAGAAGGUGGACAUCAGUAGAAUCUGAGAUGGGAGAUGGAGGGAGAUGGUAAAACGUAGUCACACUGUCUAAGUUACUGGGCUCCCCAAGGCCAGCUUACCUCUGCACUUCUCCACUAUUUGAGCCAGACAUUCCAGUUUAGCUUAACUAAUUUUAGUUUCUGUCAUUUGUAACCAAAGGAGUCCCAAUGAUUUAUCCAGCAAUGUGCUGAGUGCCUUGAGGAGAGAAAGUGUAGAUGGCUGUCAUGAGGGAGAAAGGCCGUGAAGGUGGAGAGAGAACGUGUUACUGUAAACUUUCUCUUGAGCUCUAUUUGCUUGGAGCAGAACCUGAUGGGGACCUGAUGGUGUGAGGAGGGAGUGGGAGUCGUAAAGUGAGUGAGAAUUGAGAAAUUAAUUUCCUCUCUUUGCCUUGAAUCGGCUGCCCUUCUGAGGUGAUAAGGCAAGAUGAGCUGGGUUCCUUGGAUGAUUCUUGGGAGGAUCCAGUAAAAUGGCAUAUGUGGAAAAGCCACAAAUCAUUCUAUACACAUUAACUCUCAUGUCCAGUCAUCAAGGAAACGUGUUUCAUUCUGAGAUGAAGAUGGAUGCUCACUGUACAAAUAAAGCAUGUGAGAGGUAAACGGGCACUGUUGGAUACAUGCAUCGUUGGAAGAAAAUAAGACGGUGGCCAUGUCAUUCUGACCCGACUUUCCCUUCUUUGACUUGAUACUCCACCUUCAGAAACAGGGAAAGUCUCCAUGGCUCAGCUCUUCCAGCAACGCUGCUCACUGUGGUGAUAUCUAUGAGUUAACUUCACCAUCCUUGCAGCUGCCAUGUUGUGAGGACCUUCAAGCAACUCUGUGAAGAAUUGACAUGGUGAGGCUUCCUGCCAGCAGCUGGCACCACCUUGCCAGUCAUCUGAGUGAGCCAUCUUGGAAGUGGAUCCUCCAGCCUCAGUCAUGCCUUCAACUGACUCCAACCUCAUGAGGUGCCCUGAGCCAGAACCACACAGCUAAACUUCUCUUCAUUUCCUGACCUAUAGAAAGUACAAGAGAAAACAAAUUUUUGUUGUUUUAAGCUGAUGACUUUGUGGAUAACUUGUUCUGCAGCAAUAGAUAACUAAUGCGUAAUGUUUGAAAGGUAAUCCUAGGAAGUUAAACGAGGGAGUGAGGAAAAUGAGUCAAGGAAGAAGGUAAAGUCAAUAAAGGGUAUGUUAGUGUGGACAACUGGGCUCAAUCUCAUUGGAGAGAUAUUGAGGAUUGUUUAAGAUGUGCCUGAAAACUGAGGCACCAAGGCAUGGAGAAGCUUAUAUAUUUUCCCACCAGCUCUCAUGCCUCAUUGGAUGAAGGUUGCCCAUGGGGAUAUUAAAUCCUCAAUGCUUUCAGGCUUGCCCUUGGGAUAGGAAAGGAUCAGAGAAAAUUCUCAGAGAAGCAGAAAGCUACAGGUGGUUAAAAUGAGAGGCUGUCAGCAUGUAAAAGAACUGUCCACUGAGGCCACAGAUGUACUCGGGGUGGAUUGAGUAGAUUACGGGGUGGAUUAUAGAGUGGGACUUCAAUAGCGUCUGCCACAUAGCUUCACAGUCUUUUUCAUUGCCAUGCUUUGAGCAGCCACUCCCAAUCAAUUAGUGUUGGGAUUUGAGAUAAAAUCCAUCUGACUUCUCUAGUUUAGAAUAUACUCCCCACUCUUUGUUCUGUCCCCUCCACUCAACACCACUUUCCACCUGGUGAAUUCUUACUUAACUCUCAAAGGUCAAAGGCUACCUACCCAGUGACCCUUCACGAAUAAUGUCCCCUUUGCCUGGCUAAAUUAGCUUCCCUCUCUUUGCUGAUGUCUUGCUCUCAGUAGUCACACGGACUGAAAUCAUUUAUGUGUUUACCUCCCUGACUCGCCCGCUGGGGAACUUUUGCUCGUCUCUGUAUUCCUAACGUCUGGCACAUAUUAGGCCCUCAAAAAAUAUGAGCUAAAAGAACAAGACUUGAAGACUUGAGAUAAAGGUACAAGUCUCCUUGGUGUUCCACAGUAUUGCCCCUGAGUUCAUUCUCCCUGCAGAGGUACUCACAGACAUCUUUCACUGUGGGUAAAAGAAACAUGUUUACACACUUUUGCAUUACUUGGAUUACUCUGGAUAGAAGGAGUAAUCCAAGUGAGAAUAAAGAUUCUGCCAAACUGGUUUUGGGAAAAUAUAAUUUUAAGCCUCAGGCCACCCAAUACUUCAAUUUACUUACCAUGUGUAUUUUUUAACCUAUAUUCUACUGACUUGAUAAAGUUUUUUACUUUAAAAAAAUAGAUUCUCCAUAGCAAAGUCAUGGAAUGGUUAUGUUGCCAUGUUAAGUGUGGCAUGAGGUUUGGUUCUCAUUAUUAAACUUUGAAGGAUGAUGUGUAUAUGGGGGGGAAGGGGGGAAGUGACCAGCACUAUUUCAAAGCUGGCAUUGUUUCUAAAGGUCCCUGGAGAAUGUUACUAUCCCCAAACAUUAACAGAUGUCAGUCUCCUGUCCUGGUUUGACCCGAGGCCCUUACCCAUGGUUCGCUUGCGUAGCACUUUAGCCCGUGUGGAUUUCGGAUUUCGUCAUCUUUCCCUUCAGGGUAGGACAAGCAAAGAGAAGAGAAGUGAGUUUCAUUUUGGCUCAUUUUCUUUUGUUUUUAUCUCAUCAGAGCCACUCUGUGGCUUACACUUACAGGAUCUAAUAGUUGCUGGACCUGGAGAAUCCCUUCUUGUCGGAUGCCAAGAGUUAAAUGGAUUCAGUGCGUUUUCCAGGGGGCAUUAUGAAAGGUGCUAACAGAUGUCAAUUUCAGCUUUGUCAUUAAAGUGCUUCUCACACGCCACCUGAUGUCCUUGGGUUAGAGCUUUUCUUUCAGCCUUUUCUCAUUACGUUUUAGCUCUGUUUUGUGAAUAAACCUUUGAAGAAACUUGAGAGCUAUUUUGGAAACCCAAGGAGUAGAAGAGUUGAAAUGUCUAAGCUCUGAAACAUGCAUCUGACCUUAUUCUCCAUGCCCACGGUCCAGGGAAGGCAAAGGCAGAUGCUAAGUAUUUUUCUGUGCUCUGAAAAGAUGGUAUGCCUUAAAGAAAACAC
Molecule: long non-coding RNA, 7021 nt
Filed under: Equus caballus (horse)
Lineage: Eukaryota; Metazoa; Chordata; Mammalia; Perissodactyla; Equidae
Description: lncRNA (ENSECAG00000055411.1)
Source: RNAcentral